GCCAAAUGAUGUAAAAUAGAUUGCAGUAGCACUAUGUGCAAAGAUGACUUACAUCUAUCACCCAAUACUGAUGGCU
This 76-nucleotide small nucleolar RNA is filed under the name Crocodylus porosus (Australian saltwater crocodile). RNAcentral describes it as "Small nucleolar RNA SNORD83 (ENSCPRG00005010081.1)". It matches the Rfam family "Small nucleolar RNA SNORD83". Rfam says of the family: U83 (SNORD83) and U84 (SNORD84) are members of the C/D class of snoRNA which contain the C (UGAUGA) and D (CUGA) box motifs. The record is from Rfam by way of RNAcentral. Lineage: Eukaryota; Metazoa; Chordata; Crocodylia; Crocodylidae.